This 428-nucleotide ribosomal RNA is filed under the name bacterium. Its description in RNAcentral is "partial 16S ribosomal RNA". It matches the Rfam family "Bacterial small subunit ribosomal RNA", at positions 355 to 776 of the family's 1533-position model. The record is from RNAcentral.
UAGGGAAUCUUCGGCAAUGGGGGCAACCCUGACCGAGCAACGCCGCGUGAGUGAAGAAGGUUUUCGGAUCGUAAAGCUCUGUUGUAAGAGAAGAACGUGUGUGAGAGUGGAAAGUUCACACAGUGACGGUAACUUACCAGAAAGGGACGGCUAACUACGUGCCAGCAGCCGCGGUAAUACGUAGGUCCCGAGCGUUGUCCGGAUUUAUUGGGCGUAAAGCGAGCGCAGGCGGUUUAAUAAGUCUGAAGUUAAAGGCAGUGGCUUAACCAUUGUUCGCUUUGGAAACUGUUAAACUUGAGUGCAGAAGGGGAGAGUGGAAUUCCAUGUGUAGCGGUGAAAUGCGUAGAUAUAUGGAGGAACACCGGUGGCGAAGCGGCUCUCUGGUCUGUAACUGACGCUGAGGCUCGAAAGCGUGGGGAGCAAACAGG